AACGUAGGGUGCAAGCGUUGUCCGGAAUUACUGGGUGUAAAGGGAGCGCAGGCGGACCGGCAAGUUGGAAGUGAAAACCAUGGGCUCAACCCGUGAAUUGCUUUCAAAACUGCUGGCCUUGAGUAGUGCAGAGGUAGGUGGAAUUCCCGGUGUAGCGGUGGAAUGCGUAGAUAUCGGGAGGAACACCAGUGGCGAAGGCGACCUACUGGGCACCAACUGACGCUGAGGCUCGAAAGCAUGGGUAGCAAACAGG
Molecule: ribosomal RNA, 253 nt
Filed under: uncultured bacterium
Lineage: Bacteria
Description: partial 16S ribosomal RNA
Rfam family: Bacterial small subunit ribosomal RNA
Source: RNAcentral